CUUUAACUCCAUAAUAACAGACUUCAGUUUGAUUAUGAUUUUAUAUUAUUUGUUUUGAUGUGCUUAAAUUUUUGCCAGUUGUUUUCUGAAUAUUUUCCUUAUAUUCCAGUUUUCUCAUUUGGAUAAUUUACACUUCCACCUGAGGAAUAGGUGUAUUAGUCCAUUCUUGCAUUGCUAUAAAGAACUACCUGAGACUGGGUAAUUUAUAAAGAAAAGAGGUUUAAUUGACUCACAGUUCUCCAGGCUGAACAGAAAGCAUGACUGAGGAAGCCUCAGUAAACUUACAAUUAUGGCAGAAGGUGAAGAGAAAGCAGACACCUCUUAACAUGCUGGAGAAGGAGGAAGAGAGAGAGAAGGGGGAAGUCCUACACUCUUUUAUAAACAACCAGAUCUCAUGAGAAUUCACUCACUAUUACAAGAACAGAAAGGUUCUUGGUUCAUGGUUCAAUCAGCUCCUACCAGGCUCCUCCUCCAACAUUGGGGAUUACAAUUCAACAUGAAAUUUCAGCAGAGACACUGACUCAAAUCAUAUCAGGGAUAGGAAAUACGACCUGUCUCACUUUGAUCCAUAUUGAAGGCUUCGGAUUUCCUUCAUUCUCCAAGUGAUGCAAAACCAAGGCUGUACAAGCAUGGUGAUGGCAUCUGUCCAGCAUCUGGGGAGCCUGCAGGGAGCUUUUACUCAGGACAGAAGGUGAAGCAGGAGCAGGUAUGUCACAUGGCAGAUUCUCACCUAAGUGCUGAAACGACCUCAUAGCACAAAGGGGAGACAGAAAUUUUAAAAGUGGAAUGAAGGGAGGAUAACUUCAAAUGACAGUUGCCACAGCUGAAGAGAUGCUUUCACUCAUGAAACAAAUAAGCAAGCAGGAUGCCAUCCAUGAAGAUGAUGCUUCUGACUCACUGUAAAAAUAAAAAAAUACGUAUACUAUGAGGUGUUUCCUCUUUAUUGACAUCUACCUGAUCAGCCCAUUUGUGACCAACAAAUGCAAUUAUGAGGUGAGACAGCUGAUGGAGAAAGAGGUGAGAUGCCAGUAAGACGGGAUAUGGAGAGACGCAACAUAAAAGUUUUAGGAGAAAAAGCCAGACCGAGCCCAGAGAGCAGAAAAUAUGCUCCAGCUCAACGUUGCUAAUUGUAAUCAGGAAAAAGUAAAUUAAUCUCACCGUGGCUCAGUGACAAAGGGGAUAAUAAAUGAAUGCUACUGCAAAAGGAUACCAUAAAUUAUGACAAUGCUUAUGAAAGUAUUUAAAAGUUACAAAGUAUUAUUCAAGUACUAGUUAAAUAUUGCUUAUAAUUAUCUCAUAUCAAAGGGAAGCCAAUGGACUGAUAAUUGAGCUUUUAAACUUUGCCUUGGGAAUCAGAGAGAAUACAAAAUCUCAUGUUUUAUUAACUUCACUCUGUUUUCUUAUGGUCUAAUCUUAGUCAUCUUUUAGGUUUCCAUUUUGGGAUAUAUGUAAACAUGAAAGCAGUGGGAUUAGUAUAUAUCAAAAUAUUUAAGCAAUGCAUAUUUAGAGAAGUUGGCAGCACAGAAAUGAGCAACUUUUAAGAGUAAUUUUAGCCAUCUCAUGGGAAAAUUACAAUAAUAAAGUAAAACAAUGCUAAAUAAAGAUUUUCAAGGAUAAUGGCCGCUCAAAUCACAAUUCAUUUUUAUGACCUGAAUUUACAAGUUUUUUUUAAAACAAAAAACCCUACAUUUUUAAUUUUAUUGCAGAAAUAUCCUUUAGAAUUUAUGAUUCUAAUGGAAAAUAUCAGGAUUUUUCACUUUCUCUUUACUCAGUCAAUAGUCAGGGGCUGUACCGUGAUUACCUGACAUACAUUCAAACAAAUGUGAGCUCCCACAUUGAUCUAUCACUCUCUGGGGAGAAGAGCUCUCAGAAGCUCUGUUUCUGAAUAACAAGGUGAGAGUGAGUCGGUACAAACCUCAUUUGAAAGAAAAUGUCAGAUUUGGAAUAGAGAAACAACAGAAAUAUCACAGCCUUCCUUAGAAGAUACACAGGGCUGCAUUUCCUAAAGUAUGUCCUCUAGACACACUCUAUUAGAAAAUCUGAUGAGCAUGUAUAGCCAAAGUGUUUACUGCUGCUGACUGCCCAAAUCCAUUCUUAGAGGAAAAGCAUUGAAAUGCAGAUAACCUUAAGUUGUAUCCAAAAUAUAUUUAUAAUUUGAAACUCAAAGUUGAGCAAUGACUUCUUUGUUGUACCUAGACAAUACCCUGUCUGCCUUCUGUAGAAAUGCAUGACAUUUAUUCAAUUGGUGGGAACCCCCAGGGUAAAAAAGAGCUCAGAAAAUAAAACACUGAUCAAUUAUUUUUCAUUUCCCAAAAUAUUUUCCUUUUUAUACCCCAAAACAUCUUACCUGGACCAAUAUUUUAGCUUAUGAACUACCUACCUCCAGCUUCUCCUUAGUCCAAAUCAUCAUCAGGCCAUUAAUAGUCAGAUUUGGAUUUUCAAAACCCACCUCUGAUCAUGACUCUUGUUCUAAAAACUUUUGGAGGUUUUCCAAUGCUUACACACGCACACACACACACACACACACACACACAGAGCCUUCACAAGGCACAUGAUAACAUCGCAGCAAUGUUUUUAUCCUUAGUUCCCAUUAAUCCUUCAUAUAUAAACUCACACUACAGUCAGACAAAACCACCUAUUUUCUUUCUAACACUACCUGGGUUUUUCUUGUCUCUUCACACUGCUUUAUUCUUCUGAAAUGUUCUUACUCUUCUAUCUCUGGCUGGUUGAAAUUUUACAUAUCCUUCAAGUUCUAUCUCAAAGAUUAAACACUCAGUUUUCUGCCUGAAUAUCAUUUCUCAGUAUCCCAAAUUUCCUUUAAAAUACUCAGGAAAACUCAAAAGCAUUUGGUAAUCCUCCACAGUGGCUCUCAGUAGUAGAAGCCAAACUAACUAGAAUACGGGAAGGAUUUUCAUCAGUUACAAGACAUACAACUCUAAGUGUCAUUCCAAUUUGGCAAGAAAUGCUGGCUUGCUUGCUGUCAUUUGAGGAACACCACAUUGCAGAGCCUACAGAAUGGAAGCAUUUGUCUCCACCCUCUUGAAAAUCCUCCUUGUUAAGACCUAGAUUCUUCAAAUUUGUGGGGUUUUUUACAUUGCAUUUUAUUAUUUUUUAAUAACAAAAUCUAUUAAUCUUUUAAUGG
RNAcentral lists this long non-coding RNA (3142 nucleotides) under Homo sapiens (human). Its description in RNAcentral is "HSALNT0114316". Lineage: Eukaryota; Metazoa; Chordata; Mammalia; Primates; Hominidae. The record is from RNAcentral.